CAGCCGCCACGGGAAUACAGAGGGUGCGAGCGUUAAUCGGAUUUACUGGGCGUAAAGCGUGCGUAGGCGGCUUUUUAAGUCGGAUGUGAAAUCCCUGAGCUUAACUUAGGAAUUGCAUUUGAUACUGGGAAGCUAGAGUAUGGGAGAGGAUGGUAGAAUUCCAGGUGUAGCGGUGAAAUGCGUAGAGAUCUGGAGGAAUACCGAUGGCGAAGGCAGCCAUCUGGCCUAAUACUGACGCUGAGGUACGAAAGCAUGGGGAGCAAACAGGAUUAGAUACCCCGGUAGUCCCUGUCUCUUAUAC
This 301-nucleotide ribosomal RNA is filed under the name uncultured bacterium. RNAcentral's name for it is "partial 16S ribosomal RNA". It matches the Rfam family "Bacterial small subunit ribosomal RNA", at positions 509 to 807 of the family's 1533-position model. The record is from RNAcentral.